UCCUGUACAAUUAUUCCCCUUGAGGCAGAUUGCUUGAAAGCCUUGAUCGGACUCCGGAAAUACCAGCCCAUCCCUUUGGAUGAUUUUACGUCACCACCACGGGAAUCUGACGUCACAGAUACAGCCACAGACCUCGAUUUCCUCAUCAUCUUCCUCCUCUCCUCCUCAUUCUUCUUCUUCUUCUUGUUCGCAUCUUCCUGUUCCAAUAAAACAGCGUUGUAUCGCUCGACAUCGCCUCUGUUGCUCACGUUACCGCUACUCCUGCUACUUUUGAAAAGCGACCAAAACGGCGACGCCGUUUUACGACUAUCUUUGCGGAUAGAGCAAUCAUGGUCAACAGGCGGCUUUGACCGUAGAAAUGGAAUUGCAAGUGACCUCGACCGGCGAAAGGAAGGCUCGCUCUCGAUCAGAUUGGACACAAGGCCGACAGUUCCGAUUCCAGUGACGAAUGAUUCAGUAGCGGCGGCGGCUGAGGAGAAGUGAGAGGAGGAAGAACAGGAGCUAGAGGAAGAAGUGGUGGCGGCAGCGUAACAAGCACAGGGACGUAUGUUAGCGCAGUCUGGACAGAGGGAGGAGAGUCGCUCACGGAGGCACACGUGGCAAAUUCCUGUACGGCGUUUCUUCGAAGGGUGUCUAGGACAUUUCCACACCUCCUCCUCGUCGAUGUAAAGCGCCAUUUCUCGGCGACCUCUCUCUUUCUCUAAAGAAUAACCUUUGCUUCUCUCUCUAGUAUAACAG
RNAcentral lists this unclassified non-coding RNA (738 nucleotides) under Hevea brasiliensis (rubber tree). Lineage: Eukaryota; Viridiplantae; Streptophyta; Magnoliopsida; Malpighiales; Euphorbiaceae. The record is from RNAcentral.